UGCAGCUGUAACAAAGCCAGAAGGAGGUCAGAGAAGGCUUUGCACAACGCUCAGCUGGAGCUCUUCCACUGCACGUGCUUGCUGCCCUCGGAAAUGGAUUUGCUUGCCCCUGGUUCCCCUCUCUUUUCACAUGGAGCUUCUUGGAUGAGCUUGGAUCUGAGGCACGGGGUGAUCUAUGAAGGAAUUCAACAAUCCCUAGGGAAGGGAUAGCAUGGAAAGGGAGUGGAAAAAGAAUAUAAGGGAAACCUAAAUGUUGGCUGUUUGCCAACCAUCUCAUUUAUCACUCAACUUGUUCAUGACUAAAAUCUAUCAUCAGAGAACUGCACUGAAAUCAAUGAAGGUCAAACAGUUUAAUCUGUCCAAUUAUUCCAGAGGGAGUAAACACAGCCCCCAGAUUUAUCAGAGAAACGUGGACUUCCAAGUUGUUCAAGCAAGCUUUUACCCAUCUGCCAACACUGGGAACCGGAGAGUGGGAAGUAAACCUGCAGAGUAUUAUCACAAACAGUGGAUGACUUACAUCUCUAAAGGAUGCAAUUUUGAUGCCAACAGCCU
Bubalus bubalis (water buffalo) is the source of this 552-nucleotide long non-coding RNA. RefSeq lists it as uncharacterized. The record is from RefSeq and is a predicted model, not a curated record. Lineage: Eukaryota; Metazoa; Chordata; Mammalia; Artiodactyla; Bovidae. The transcript is spliced from 3 exons.